AACGAACGCUGGCGGCAGGCUUAACACAUGCAAGUCGAACGCGUGCAGCAAUGCACGAGUGGCGCACGGGUGAGUAACGCGUGGAUAUCUGCCUGUUGGUUCGGAAUAACCCCGUGAAACUGGGGCUAAUACCGGAUGGUUCCUACGGGAUAAAGAUUUAUCGCCAAAAGAUGAGUCCGCGUCCGAUUAGCUAGUUGGUGAGGUAAUGGCUCACCAAGGCGACGAUCGGUAGCUGGUCUGAGAGGACGAUCAGCCACACUGGGACUGAGACACGGCCCCGAACCCUACGGAAGACAGCAGAGGGGAAUAUUGGACAAUGGGGGCAAACCUGACCCAGCCGUGCCGGGUGAGUGAGGAAGGGCUUCGGGUUGUAAAGCUCUUUUGGCGGGGACGAUGAUGACGGUACCCGCAGAAUAAGCCCCGGCUAACUUCGUG
RNAcentral lists this ribosomal RNA (435 nucleotides) under uncultured bacterium. RNAcentral's name for it is "partial 16S ribosomal RNA". It matches the Rfam family "Bacterial small subunit ribosomal RNA", at positions 29 to 507 of the family's 1533-position model. The record is from RNAcentral.